Molecule: long non-coding RNA, 1805 nt
Filed under: Sus scrofa (pig)
Lineage: Eukaryota; Metazoa; Chordata; Mammalia; Artiodactyla; Suidae
Description: lncRNA (ENSSSCG00055013958.1)
Source: RNAcentral
GAGAAACGCAGGAUCCACUCCCGGCCUAAGCACCAGUUUUGUCUCCAACCACCUGCCUUUGAAGCCCGGAGGCCUGAAUUCCAGCAUCCUUCACCAAGCGAGGUGUGGGCGUGUGCGGUGGCCCACGACCCAGAACAACAGACGCAGAGAGGCCACACCAGCAUACGGAAAUUCCUGGACCAGUGACUGAAUCCAAGGAGCCAUAGCCACGGUCACGCCAGACCUUUAACCCACUGCACUAGGCCAGGGAUGGAACCCGCACCUCUGCAUCGACCCGAGCUGCUGCAGUCGGAUCCUUAACCCACUGCACCACAGUGGGAACUCCAGAGCUACUUAUUGCUUAACCCAAGACGGACCCUCCUCUGUACGUGGUGUGUGUCCUCCGUGCCUGGAUGCUGGGAUUCGCGUCUUGAAAGGGGUUUUUGGUGAAAGCACGGCUACCAGACAACCUGGUAUUUGCAAAACCACCAGGAGCAAAACCCAUUGAAAUACAGCGUAAGGAAAUACACAUAAUUCACAAAUGAUGUUGAUCACUUUCAUCUUAGACUUCCUAACUGUCCUCAAUAGAAGACAGACGCCAAGGAGAUUUAACUCAGAUGUUAAUAGUGCAGAGAAUGCCCCGUUACCAGGGAAUGCUGCUUCGGUGCUGCAUGAAAAUUUUCCUGCCGCGAUGCCAUUGAUUUUGGAACGGGAGGGACAGAAUUUUAUCCAACGAAUAUUCACUAAGCAUCUGCGAUGCGGGAGGCCCCGGAUGAGGUACCAGAGGCCACCAGAUUCGGUCCCUGCUUUCAAGUCCUGGCCAGUCUGGAAGGGGAGAGGAGCAAGGCCCAGAGAGUUGGAGUGGAGGGCAGGCGGGCUUGGCGGAGACGCCGAGGAGCAGGUGACCUUUGUCCUGGGCUUCGAAGAGAGACGAGUUUCUCCAUAAGGGACAUGGUACAUAAAAUACAAAAAUAGAACAUUUUAGAAAGGCUUUUUGGCCUCUCUGGAAAGAUUUACAUGGAGAAAGAAUGUUCUCUUCCUCCUUUUAUUAAUUUAAUAGCAGCAGCCAGAAUCCACCUCUCUGAGCCCUGGUUCCCAGCACACCUUCCCUGUAGCUUCUAGGUCUUUCUAUUCCUAGUCUUCUUCUUCUUCUUUUUUUUCUGUAUUCCCCAGGGCCAGGGAUUGAAUCUGAGCUGUGGCAACGCUGGGUCCUUUAACCCACUAUGCCGGGCCCGGGAUCGAACCUCUACCUUCACAAGGACCCAAGCCACUGCAGUUGGGUUCUUAACCUACUGCACCACAGCAGGAACUCCUGGUCUUUCUAGUCUUAUAGUUUCUAUUGGAUAUGCUCCUGUUUUUCCUCCCGGAAGCAGUGGAAACAAAUCUGACUAGGAGCCAUGAGGUUGCAGGUUCGAUCUCUGGCCUCGCUCAGUGGGUUCAUCUUGUGACCAGAGGUUGUGUCCUGCUCAGCCUUUUACCCUUCAAGGGCCUUAUCAUACUGCCUUGCCUUUGGUAAGCACUUAAGACAUGCUUGUUGGGUUGAAUGUUCACUGGGAAUUUUGGGGGGGGGGGCGUUGUGCACGCGGUAUGCAGAAGUUUCCAGGCCAAGGAACGAACACUAGCCAUAGUGGUGACGACGCCAGCUCCUUAUCUGCUAGUCCACCAGGAAACUGCUCACCAGGAAUUUAGGAAAAAAAUGUUUUAGACAAAGAGCAUUUUUCUGGGAUACUGUGGCUAAUAUACUGGGAUUGGGUAAGUACUUAGUGGUUAUAGAUUUUUUAAAAACAUUUUGAAAAAAAUAAAAAUAAAAAACAUUUUGAGAAGAG